GAUGAACGCUGGCGGCGUGCCUAAUACAUGCAAGUCGAGCGAACAGACGAGGAGCUUGCUCCUCUGACGUUAGCGGCGGACGGGUGAGUACCACGUGGAUAACCUACCUAUAAGACUGGGAUAACUUCGGGAAACCGGAGCUAAUACCGGAUAAUAUAUUGAACCGCAUGGUUCAAUAGUGAAAGACGGUUUUGCUGUCACUUAUAGAUGGAUCCGCGCCGCAUUAGCUAGUUGGGAAGGUAACGGCUUACCAAGGCAACGAUGCGUAGCCGACCUGAGAGGGAGAACGGCCACACUGGAACUGAGACACGGUCCAGACUCCUACGGGAGGAAGCAGUAGGGAAUCUUCCGCAAUGGGGGAAAGCCUGACGGAGCAACGCCGCGUGAGUGAUGAAGGUCUUCGGAUCGUAAAACUCUGUUAGUAGGGAAGAACAAAUGUGUAAGUAACUAUGCACGUCUUGACGGUACCUAAUCAGAAAGCCACGGCUAACUACGUG
Molecule: ribosomal RNA, 497 nt
Filed under: uncultured bacterium
Lineage: Bacteria
Description: partial 16S ribosomal RNA
Rfam family: Bacterial small subunit ribosomal RNA
Source: RNAcentral